ACGCGAAGAACCUUACCUGGACUCGAAAUCUAGUUGACAGUCUCAGAGAUGAGAUCUUCCCGCAAGGGACGGCUGGAUAGGUGCUGCAUGGCUGUCGUCAGCUCGUGUCGUGAGAUGUUGGGUUAAGUCCCGCAACGAGCGCAACCCUUACCCUUAGUUGCUAAUCCGCAAGGAAAGCACCCUAAGGGAACUGCCUCGGAUAACGAGGAGGAAGGUGGGGAUGACGUCAAGUCCUCAUGGCCUUUAUGCCCAGGGCUACACACGUGCUACAAUGGCCGGUACAAACCGUCGCAGACCCGCGAGGGGAAGCCAAUCGGAAAAAACCGGUCUCAGUUCGGAUUGCAGGCUGCAACUCGCCUGCAUGAAGCUGGAAUCGCUAGUAAUCGCGUAUCAGAACGACGCGGUGAAUACGUUCCCGGGCCUUGUA
This 427-nucleotide ribosomal RNA is filed under the name uncultured Acidobacterium sp. RNAcentral's name for it is "bacterial SSU rRNA". It matches the Rfam family "Bacterial small subunit ribosomal RNA", at positions 959 to 1385 of the family's 1533-position model. The record is from RNAcentral. Lineage: Bacteria; Pseudomonadati; Acidobacteriota; Terriglobia; Terriglobales; Acidobacteriaceae.